CGUCGUACCAAAUUGCUGUAAAUGCACUUCAUUUAUUCAGAUCUUGGAAGCUAAGCAGACUUGAGCCUGGUUAGUACAUGGAUGGGUGAUCACCAGGGCUUGGCAGGUGUUGUAGUGU
Molecule: ribosomal RNA, 118 nt
Filed under: Petromyzon marinus (sea lamprey)
Lineage: Eukaryota; Metazoa; Chordata; Hyperoartia; Petromyzontiformes; Petromyzontidae
Source: RNAcentral